This 5532-nucleotide long non-coding RNA is filed under the name Heterocephalus glaber (naked mole-rat). Its description in RNAcentral is "lncRNA (ENSHGLG00000047123.1)". The record is from RNAcentral. Lineage: Eukaryota; Metazoa; Chordata; Mammalia; Rodentia; Bathyergidae.
GUUUUUCUUAAAAAUUACUUUAUCUCUUUAAUCUAUCUGAAUUCAUAUAUUAUUAAUCAUUCCUGAUUCUGGAACAUUUAUUUAACCUAAUGAUUAUGAGUUGUGCUCACAGUAACUUGGGAAAAAGAGAAUUAUUCCACAACCAUGGAUGUCUACUUUACAUACCCUAUAAAUUGUACAAUUAUCCUUCUUUUUUCACUCUUACUACUGAAACACGUAUGAACAAAUAAAAAUGUAAAUCAUUAAAAAUUUCAUCAAGUGAAAAAAAGGCAUUUACCUAAAAUACUAGUUUCAGCUUUCACAGUUUGACAUUGAUAGAUUUAUCAUUUUAUCCUACAGGUCACUGACCCAUAAACUCAAAAGCAAAGCAUUCUCAUAUUUUCCCAACCUUUUUGGCACCAUGCUGGUUUUCCAUACUGCAUUUUUCUUCCUUUUUCAUUGUCUAUUCUAUUAGAGCACUUUUAGGAGGUACAUAUGAAUCAUCAGACUCACUGCCUUUCCAUCGACAUUAUUAGUACUUCUUCUAGGUGUGAUGUGAUUGCUAAAGCUUUUCCAUGAACUGGUACAAAUGCCCAGUUUAUACAUUCUAUGUAACACAGAUCUGCUUUAAAAUAUUCACCCAGGAAAAGAGGCUUCAGAAGGACAUUGCAAUCUGCCUUCCUGCAAUCAGGAGGAAAUUCACUGUUAAAGAUCAAACUUGCAAAAUUCAAACACAAUAGGACACUGAAGUGGUAGCAUUAAAGUUGCACCCUACUGAGACUAGGUGGAGCAAGCUCUGAGCUCUGACAGUAAACUUAUGUUGACUUUGCUCCGAAUCCACAUUUUUAUUUCAUGAAUCAUCUGAUGUGAAUUCUCUUUCUCAUUUUACCCCAUUUAAAUUAAUAAGAAACCUUGCUGUGCUAUGCCUGAGGCCUAUUGUGUAUCAAUGUUCAAGGAAGCUGAACUCAUGAUUCUUUUAACUUAUUUUAUUUUAAAUUUAUAAUGGUUGAGGAUGUUACUGCUUAUUACCCUCUCUUUAUAGUUUUUAAAAGGUUUUUGUGAACAUUUCCCUGAAGAAUCAUCCUUUCAAGGAGAUGACGUCUUAUCUUCUCCAAUUGCAGGGUUUCCUGGAGUGCCUCAGUUGUCCCACUCUCUGUGUAGCUUAGAUGCAAUUUUCCCCUUGAUUUUCUUUAACUUGACCUCCAUCUACUUCCCCCCAGGAAGGCUUCAACCCCCUUCUAGCCAAUGAGUUGAUCAUUCAUUAGCUGGCUUACAUGUAUUGUCAUUCUUUCCAGUGUGUCGGACAUCUGACAUUAGCAUCUCUCACCAGCCUAAAUACUUCAUUCAUUAAGCUCUGUGUAUUGCCUACUUUACCUUCUCUUUUUUGGCUUAGCACAUUCUAGUCAUAAAUUAUAGCUACUAUAAUUUAAACAAGGCUUUAAUGGCCUAUCUCAACUCAUCACUUUGGGACAUUUUACCUGUUUAGAAUAUAGCACUGGCUCUUAGUGUAAGAAUGUCAGGUUACUGAGAUCUUAAAGAGUAGUGGGAAGAGUUUUUAUGCCAUUUUUAUAAAAUAUAAAUAUUAAAUGAAAAAAAUAAAUUUCAAUUCAGUAUCUACUAAUCCAAAAUUCUAAAUGCAAUGUUGUUAUUCUUAAAAAGUGGGAAAUUAAAAAAUUACUCCAUAUAAUAAGGCAUAGGAAUUUUUCAGAAAUGAAUAAAAUAUAGAGAGUGGAGAAGAGAUAUAUUAAAAGGAUCUCUUACUACCUUUUGAGAAUAUUUAUGUCAGUUUUGUUGAUCUCUAGAAUAAUUAAUGGCAUUUAGUUGUAUCCCAUAUUACAAACUCAGAUUAAGGACAUUUUCAUUUAUUGUCUAUGGUGUCUUCCUUGAGUUUUUUUUUUUUUUCUUAAUUCUUAUCUUUGUCCGAAGACUAAGGUUUUCUCACUAUAAAUGGUUUUUAUCCAAUCUUGGCAUGGAUGGCAAACAUUCUAAAAUUUUUACCACUGACUGAAAUAUUGGGGUACAUCAGGGACAAACAAAAAGGAAUUAUUAGAUAAUGCUAUUGAGUAGAGCAAGAGGACAAGCAUUGGCUUAAUUAAUUCAUCAGUAUGGUUGCUUGAGAUUAUGAGCUUGUGUGUGUUGGUAUGUGUAUGUGUAUGGAUAAAUGUAAGUGUGGUAGUGACUGACAUGAAAGAUAACAAAAGGCAAAACCUUUUAUAAUCAACCACUAACUGUGUCACCUGAGCGCUUAUAGAGCUUCUGCACAUCACAGAAGAUUUGAGGAAUGUAGGUUGACUCACUAUUUGUAAGCAUUAAGUUAAACAAAAGCACAAUGUCUAGAUCUGGACAAAACCAAAACAUUCAGAACUAAACAUUGAGAUACAGGAAAUGAUUUAUGCUGGGAAGAAACUUGGACUGUUUUAUCACCAAAUCCUGACAAAGCAGAUCAUUGUGCUAUAGAUUAUAAGGUAGAUCUUAGCAAAAUGAAUUAACUGGCUCAAUGUUUGUAAAUAACUAUAUUUUCAGAACACAUACAUGUUUUCAGCAACCUGACAAGUCAAGGAACUAGCUUAUGAACAAGAAAAAAUUUUCAAGGACUUUGGACCAUAAGAUUUUAUAAUGAAUGGUUUGUACAGCUAAUUUAAAAUAAGAAGGUCAAACAUAUAAGUUUUAUUUCUUUAUGUAAUUUCCUGACUAUUCUCCCAGGCCCAGACUAUCAUUUUAAGUCCUAAAUACCCUUUUCAUCUGGAUGGUGGUUUGCUAACACAACAUGUACCAAUGAUACUCACCAUUGCCAUCCCACAGUGUAUGCCUCUUGCUCCUGACAUCUUACUGGUGGUUUCCAAUAUUUGUAUUUAGUCAAGAAUCCCAAGACCUCUGAGUGCUCUUUGAUUUAUCUCUUUGCUUUUCCCAUAGCCAGUGAUUCAUCAGGGGCUGUCAAUUCCUUCUCCCUACUGUCUCAUACCACCCUUUGCUCUCGUACAUUACCCCAAUCCUAGUUAACAGUCUCAUUACUGCUUACCUAAACUACUGCUAUAACUCUUCCUCCUGCCUCUGGUCUUGCUUCUAAUCUACUCAUUGUGCAUUCAGCUGCCAAAUUAAUCUUUCUAAAGCACAGCUUUGAUUAUGUCACCUCUGCUCAAUGACCUUCAAAUUCCUCUUCUUUGCCUACCAAAUUGAGCUCUAACUUUCUAGCCUUUGACUUUAUGAUCCAGGCUUAGUUUUCUUGAGUUAGCAUUAAUAUUUUCCUCUUUUUGAAACUCUAGCUAAACUUAGCAAUUCAGCAUUCUACAAUCAAUCCUGGAAGCUUCUUUUUAUCAAUGGGUUUUGCAAUUAUUUUUUCUUACCUGGAAUGUUUUUAGUAUUUUUAGAGCUAUUUGCUAACAUUCUCCUUGAAGAUUGGCAGUUUUUGUUUUCAUUAAAAGAUUUCAACAACACUGGCUAAAGUGUCCCCCACAAGCGCACAGGAGGACUCAAACUCGUAGGGUAUGAUGAGGAGCAAGAGGUGGAGAAAGAAGGGAGAGGAUGGAGCAGUAGACAGUCAGAAGCCAGGGCCAAGGACAUUUGAGAAGUCUGAGAAUUCUAAAUUUGAAUCUGGUCUUUCAUAUCAUCAUGAAAUUAUAUUCAUCAAGAUAGAAUGAUGGGACACACUUUAAAUAAUUGCCCAAUUUCUAAACAUUUAGAUUCAGGAACAUGUAUGCCUCUACUUAAAUUCUUGCUGUGAAACACAUGAUUACUAGGAGCAAGUCUAUAUUUUAUCCAUGAAAACUAAUAAUUGACUACAUUGUCUGUAAUCUGCUAAGUCUUUAGUAUUUGUUGACUGUGGGGGAGCAGGGUGUUUCUUUGAAAUUCCAGGUAAUCUUUUUCCAUCUUUCUCUAAUGCUGAUCACAGACUCCUAUAAUUUCUUGCAUUUUAUAUGUAUGAAUAUGUUCACUAUAAUCUCUAUCAAGAGUUUGUAUAAUGAUGUAUAGACUGCAGUAAUUUAAUAGUAAUAGAGGUUAAAAUUUUGAUUACUGGAUAAAACAUAAAAACUCAGAGAAUACUUUAAAAGAGAUACAGAGACUCAUGGGAUUUAAGAGUUGUGAGAUAGUUUAGACAAAAGGAAACUGACUCAAGAAAAAUUAAUGACUUAUUUAGGGCUCAUGACUUCUAGUAUAUCAGGCUAGGAAGCUUUUUGAUUCCUUUCUUUCUAGUACAUGUGUAAGUUAUACAUUAAUCAGCAAGUAUCAUUAAGAUACAGUAUUAAUAUCCUGAGUAUUUAUAGCAAUAUUGCUUUCACUAAUACUGCAGUCAAUUUGUAAAGUGGAAUAAACUCAAGAUGCUAAUUCUAUAAACACUGAAACUUUCUAGAGGAGCCUACUUUGUUUAAAUCCAUAAUUGACACACACUGAAAAAUUAUCCAGGUGUAUACAAUGUUGACAUAUAGUUAAUCCAGAAGGUAGAGGGAUUAUGUUGCAGCAAUUUUCUUUGUAAAGAUUCAGUAGUAACAUCAUUCAGAACAACCAAUCUUAUAUGUGUUUGUAUAAGGCAUUACUGUGAACAAAUAUUGUCAGGUCAUAACUAAUUUCUACAGCAAUAAGCCAUUUGAAAAGGGUUUACAACCCUAAAAUAUGUUUAAACAUACAAAAUACAGAGUGUUCCCCCUUGGAGAUACCUGUAUCUAUAUUUAUCUGGAUCUAUAUUAUUUCCAUGUAUUACACAAUAGCUAUCAAAUACAAAGAGCAGGAAAACUAUUUAAAAUUGUAAUAGUCUCAAAGAAGAAUCUCAAUACUAUCACACUUGUUAAGUCAUUUCUUUAAUAAAAGACAAAGUACAGUUUUAUUUCCUCAUUUACAGCUGUUAUCUAGAGAAAAUCAGAUGAAAUUGUUUAUCACUGCAUGAAUACUACUUUUGCUGAGAAAAUAUUAGAAGUUGGUGGUGCCCGGGCAUGUGAUUGACCAUACAGAGGAAUUCAACAUUGAUCUUGGCCUCAUUGAUAAGUAUUCAAGUAUCAGAAUAUCAAAGAUUUCUUCAUAUGGCAGAUCUCAAAAAAGUUCAAGUUUAGAUGAAAAGUCUCAAAGUCCUGAUCUAUUGAAUUUCACUUUAAAAACAUUAGAUUAUUUUAUUAAGUAAUGGGUAAUAUAAUUAGACAUGAAUUAACUUCACAUACAAUAUGCCAUGAAAUAGAAAUUUAAAAAGUGGUAGAUAGUAAGUUGAACACAUAAUGAUAGCUGUACCUAUGAUUGAUGUAUCUAGAUAGCCUGUGUUUGAGUAUUUUCUCUUUUGCUAAGUAGAUAGUUUACUUUGUGUAAGUUUGUAACCUACACCAUUAUUUCUUACAUCCAUAUUUGUAAAGGGAUGCUAAUUGUAUUUAUCCUAUGGCGUUUUAUGAAGCUUGAAUUAAUGUAUUUAAAAUACUUCAAAGAAUGAGUGAUAUAGAAAAAGCUAAGUAACCAUUUUUAAAAUGUUAUUUGUCCCACUUCCUCCCCAUUAUUUUGCUUAGUAACUUCUUCAUAUGUAUUAUAUUUUAAUUUUUAAUAUAAUAUAAAUAAUUCAUAAUAUGCCUUUUAAACAAU